RNAcentral lists this ribosomal RNA (562 nucleotides) under uncultured bacterium. RNAcentral describes it as "bacterial SSU rRNA". It matches the Rfam family "Bacterial small subunit ribosomal RNA", at positions 338 to 916 of the family's 1533-position model. The record is from RNAcentral.
CCUACGGGAGGCAGCAGUGGGGAAUCUUGCGCAAUGGGCGAAAGCCUGACGCAGCCAUGCCGCGUGAAUGAUGAAGGUCUUAGGAUUGUAAAAUUCUUUCACCGGGGACGAUAAUGACGGUACCCGGAGAAGAAGCCCCGGCUAACUUCGUGCCAGCAGCCGCGGUAAUACGAAGGGGGCUAGCGUUGCUCGGAAUUACUGGGCGUAAAGGGAGCGUAGGCGGAUAGUUUAGUCAGAGGUGAAAGCCCAGGGCUCAACCUUGGAAUUGCCUUUGAUACUGGCUAUCUUGAGUGUGGGAGAGGUAUGUGGAACUCCGAGUGUAGAGGUGAAAUUCGUAGAUAUUCGGAAGAACACCAGUGGCGAAGGCGACAUACUGGCCCAUUACUGACGCUGAGGCUCGAAAGCGUGGGGAGCAAACAGGAUUAGAUACCCUGGUAGUCCACGCUGUAAACGAUGAGUGCUAGUUGUCGGCAUGCAUGCAUGUCGGUGACGCAGCUAACGCAUUAAGCACUCCGCCUGGGGAGUACGGUCGCAAGAUUAAAACUUCAAAGGAAAUUGACGG